UGGCAUGGUUGUCGUCAGCUCGUGUCGUGAGAUGUUGGGUUAAGUCCCGCAACGAGCGCAACCCUCGACCUUAGUUGCCAGCAUUCAGUUGGGCACUCUAAGGUGACUGCCGGCUAAAAGUCGGAGGAAGGUGGGGAUGACGUCAAAUCAUCAUGCCCCUUAUGACCUGGGCUACACACGUGCUACAAUGGGCGGUACAAAGGGUCGCGAACCCGCGAGGGGGAGCCAAUCCCAAAAAGCCGCUCUCAGUUCGGAUUGCAGGCUGCAACUCGCCUGCAUGAAGCCGGAAUCGCUAGUAAUCGCGGAUCAGCAUGCCGCGGUGAAUACGUUCCCGGGCCUU
Molecule: ribosomal RNA, 340 nt
Filed under: uncultured Anoxybacillus sp.
Lineage: Bacteria; Bacillati; Bacillota; Bacilli; Caryophanales; Anoxybacillaceae
Description: bacterial SSU rRNA
Rfam family: Bacterial small subunit ribosomal RNA
Source: RNAcentral